Misgurnus anguillicaudatus (oriental weatherfish) is the source of this 2248-nucleotide non-coding RNA. The record is from RefSeq and is a predicted model, not a curated record. Lineage: Eukaryota; Metazoa; Chordata; Actinopteri; Cypriniformes; Cobitidae.
ACAGAAACACCGGACAUCCGGUGACACCGCGAAGGCUGUAAUCAGCCGAUUGGGCACAGCUGUGCCUAGUUGAAGAGAUCGCCGAGUAAUUGGAUAACUGGAGUACAAAGAGGAGUAUAAAAAGCGCAGUUAGAUGACAGUUGUGUUCGUUGUUAGUGUGUGCUGAGGAACGGAGCUGUGCUCAUUGUCAGACGUGGUGGCUGUCUGUAUUUCUCUCUCUCUCCCUCUCUCACUGUAGUUGACGGUGGACCUGCUGGAGUAAACGGAAAAUCCGCUGAGUAGAAAGGAACUUUGGUUUAACCAGUACUUUUGAAGGAGUAAAGCCGGAAGAAAACUGACCUUGUUGUACAACGUAAACAAAGGCUAUCCGCUGUGAGUAUACUUGUUUGGUGUGGAGUAAACUGCAGAGAUUAACCUGUGUGAUCGUUGGAGUCCUCGAGGAGGAAACGGGCGGCCCUGCCCCUAUAAUAGCGUGGUGGGCGAGCCGCUGGAAGUAUAGACCCAAAACAGCACAGCAACGAGACUUUAUUUCGGUCGUGUUUGCCAUCGCCCCUAUUUAGCCCAAGCGCAGUGGAGGACACCGGGCGCUUUUCCUUGUGGUGUUGCACUUAUAGCGUGACGAAGCCCCGUACAUCCAUCUUCUCUACUGGGCAGAGGACGGAGGGGCUAACGACCCCAGAAAUUUCUGCUACCACACGCUGUGUGCUGUUUCGGAGGACGAAGGGACGCGGACCAAGAGCUGUCCAGGGCUGUGAGUGAAGUAUUGGAAGUAUUCGUGGUGUACACUUACCUGUGUCUGUCUUUUGUCGCAGAGUCAGAGGCGAAAGAGUCCGCCGCCCCCGCGGUCCCUACAAAGGGGCGCCCCUGUCCAGGAUUCGAUCGGCCUACGGGCAGUGGAGAUAGGGCAGCGCUCGACCCGGUGAGGUGGUGUGUGACCUUCGCCCCUCUGCUGACCUACGGAGGAGAAAAAGCCAUACCUAUCCAGAAAGCUGUAGGUAGCGGAGCCGGUGAGAAAUACUUGAAGUCUCAAUAACAGUGUCUUUGUGUCCUAGCGGCCACCUGUGGAGAGAGAGAAGAACGAGAGUGAAUAAGUGAAGAACAGACUGUGAACGUGCUCCCUACCCAGAAAGCUGUAUGCAGCAGAGUCGGUGAGAAAUACUCGAAGUCUCAGUAACAGUGUCUUUGUGUCCUAGCGGCCACCUGUGGAGAGAGAGAAGAACGAGAGUGAAUAAUUGAAGAACAGACUGUGAACGUGAUACCUACCCAGAAAGCUGUAUGCAGCAGAGCCGGUGAGAAAUACUCGAAGUCUCAGUAACAGUGUCUUUGUGUCCUAGCGGCCACCUGUGGAGAGAGAGAAGAACGAGAGUGAAUAAGUGAAGAACAGACUGUGAACGUGAUACCUACCCAGAAAGCGGUAUGCAGCAGAGCCGGUGAGAAAUACUCGAAGUUUCAGUAACAGUGUCUUUGUGUCCUAGCGGCCACCUGUGGAGAGAGAGAAGAACGAGAGUGAAUAAGUGAAGAACAGACUGUGAACGUGAUACCUACCCAGAAAGCGGUAUGCAGCAGAGCCGGUGAGAAAUACUCGAAGUUUCAGUAACAGUGUCUUUGUGUCCUAGCGGCCACCUGUGGAGAGAGAGAAGAACGAGAGUGAACCAUUGAAGAACAGACUGUGAACGUGAUAACUACCCAGAAAGCUGUACGCAGCAGAACCGGUGAGACAUACUCGAAGUCCAAGUAACAGUGCCUUUGUGUCCUAGUGGCCGCCUGAGGAGAGAAAGGAGGACGAGAGUGAACAAUCGGAGGACAGACGGUGUAACGCGCUACCUACCCCGAGAGCUGUAAGCGGCAGAACCGGUGAGAAGCAUACCAAAUCCACACUAACCGUGUUUCUGUGUCGCAGUGAACACCUGCGGGGGACGUGAAGGCACGUGGGGCGAGGACCCCCUGCCGGACCGAGGAAAGGUUCACGGACAGUGGAAAAUCUCCUACCAGUCACACCGAAAUUGUUCUGCCUCCAGGAAAGAAGAAGGAGGGCGCCACGGUUAACAGGGUCCAGGCCGGAGCCUGGCGAUUCCCUCUUUCCCCCGGCUUAUGGUGGUUGACACCCCUGUUGCCCUUGCCCCUGUCUGCCCGUGGCUGCAGUCUCCCUGGAGGGAGGAGAAGAAGCCCAUUAGUUUUAAAUCCCCCUUUCCCCAAUUCCCCAGUUCUUUUAAAUAUUUAAAUUCAAUAAAGCUUGUUUUAAAUUUUA